GAGGAAAAGAAACUAACAAGGAUUCCCCUAGUAACGGCGAGUGAAGCGGGAAGAGCUCAAAUUUUAAAUCUCCGAGGUUUCCUUGGCGAGUUGUAAUUUGAAGAGAGUGUUUUGACACUCGGGUUUAAUCCAAAUCCUUUGGGAUAAGGUAUCAUAGAGGGUGAGAAUCCCGUUUAUGAUUGAAUCUCGUGUGUCGCUCAACUCACUUUCCAAGAGUCGAGUUGUUUGGGAUUGCAGCUCAAAACGGGUGGUAAAUUUCACCUAAGGCUAAAUAUGUGCAAGAGACCGAUAGCGAACAAGUACCGUGAGGGAAAGAUGAAAAGAACUUUGAAAAGAGAGUUAAAUAGUACGUGAAAUUGUUAAAGGGAAACGAUUGAAGUCAGUCAUGCUAGUGAGGAAUCAACCUGAUGGUGUGUGGGUUCUCCCUCGUACUUUCUGGUGCACUUUCUCACCCGGCAGGUUAGCAUCAAUUUCGGUUAUCAUAAAAAAUUUGAGAGAAUGUGGCUUUUCUUCGGAAAAGUGUUAUAGAUCUUGAUCUAUGUGGUGACCGGGAUUGAGGAUUGCAGUGGAUACCCUCGUGGCUCGUCACCUGGCUUCUGACAGUUACCCCGCCUUCGAUAGCUCGCUAACAUCGGUGGGACUCGAUCGUCUAGAUGUCAGAGUGAUUGAUUUUCGCUAAGGAUGCUGACGUAAUGGCUUUAAACGAC
This 707-nucleotide ribosomal RNA is filed under the name Acaulospora paulinae. RNAcentral's name for it is "eukaryotic LSU rRNA". It matches the Rfam family "Eukaryotic large subunit ribosomal RNA", at positions 53 to 648 of the family's 3401-position model. Lineage: Eukaryota; Fungi; Glomeromycota; Glomeromycetes; Diversisporales; Acaulosporaceae. The record is from RNAcentral.